Molecule: ribosomal RNA, 253 nt
Filed under: uncultured bacterium
Lineage: Bacteria
Description: partial 16S ribosomal RNA
Rfam family: Bacterial small subunit ribosomal RNA
Source: RNAcentral
UACAGAGGGUGCGAGCGUUAAUCGGAAUUACUGGGCGUAAAGCGUGCGCAGGCGGUUUGCUAAGACAGGUGUGAAAUCCCCGGGCUUAACCUGGGAACUGCGCUUGUUACUGGCAGGCUUGAGUGUGGCAGAGGGGGGUGGAAUUCCACGUGUAGCAGUGAAAUGCGUAGAGAUGUGGAGGAACACCGAUGGCGAAGGCAGCCCCCUGGGCUAACACUGACGCUCAUGCACGAAAGCGUGGGGAGCAAACAGG